Molecule: long non-coding RNA, 2982 nt
Organism: Sapajus apella (tufted capuchin)
Lineage: Eukaryota; Metazoa; Chordata; Mammalia; Primates; Cebidae
Exons: 2
Source: RefSeq, a predicted model, not a curated record
AAAAAUGUGUGCAAAGAAAUGAUGGCCCCUGAGGACAGACUCUGGGCGAUCGCAGUCACCUGUGAAGGUUUUAUGAAGAUGAAAUCUGAUGAGAAUGAAAGCCUUCAGCAAACCAUGAAACCCAGUAUUAAGGUUAGAGAGAGGGAAGAGCAUUCCUUACUGCAGCUCUUCUGGGACUGCACAGCCAUUUCAAUCUCUAGUGACUCUAUAUAGGUAUAAACACUUCUGUGGGCAUUCAAAGAAACACUCAGCAUCCUACCCAUAAAUAUAUUUAUUAACUUCUAUAAAGCACUCAAUUUCCUUAAUUGCAAGCCUAAUUUAAUUUCCCUUUAAGUCUUUUUGUUAAUUUUCUUUGGAUAUUUUUCAGGUUUUUAAUGUCUUUUAUUUAUUUGGAGACUGAGUCUCACUCUUUUUCAUGUCUUUCUUUCUUUCAUUUAUUUAUGUAUUUAUUUUGAGAUGGAAUCUCACUGCUUCCCCCAGGCUAGAGAACAGUAGUGCUAUCUCAGGUCACUACAAUGUCUGCCUCCCAGGUUCAAGUGAUUCACCUGCGUUAGCCUCCCGAGUAGCUGGAAUUAUAGGCACAUGCCACAACGCCCUGCUAAUUUUUGUAUUUUUUUUUAGUAGAGACAGGAUUUCACCAUAUUGGCCAGGCUGGUCUCAAACUCCUGACCUCAGGUGAUCUGCCCGCCUCAGCCUCCUGAAGUGCUGGGAUUAUAGGCUUGAGCCAACAAGCCUAGUCUUCAAGUCUUUUAAAAAAUUUGCCAAAGAUUGAUUGACAGUUACCAAAGUUUGAUAAGCUAUUCUAGGCACGAUUUUUUGCAAAAGGAUCAUCCAAUUUAGAAACCACAGGAAAGAUAGUUUUAAUCCUGGUAUCUUAUAUUCAUUUCAGGAUAUCCUAGCAACAUGGGGUCCCUUUUCACCCCAAAUAACUCUAAUAAAGCAAAUUUCUAUUUUACCCGUGUUCUACCAUGGUCUUAGUUAUCUCCAUUAGUUUUUGUCUCUAGAUUAGAAUUCCUACAUCCUAUAUUUGUAUUGUAAAUUUUUCAUCCCUAAGUGUAUCACCCAAAUGAAUGCCAAUAUGCUACCACCUAGCUCUGGUUAUAAGUGCUAACUCAGGUUAUCCACCAACAUAACAAAAAGUUCAAAGUUUCAUAAUUUAAUAAAAUGUCCCUUAGAUGUCAGAUCAAAACAUUUUCUAAACUGUAAGCUUACUUCAUGAUCUCUAUAAGGAUAGAAUUCAUAUUUCAUCAUCUUAAAUAUUUAUUACCUUGCUAAUGCUAAUCCUCCACACCCCAAAACAGUGCUUUUAGCACAAUGUUUUGUAUAUGCUACACAAUGCUCAAUACACAUUUUCUGGAUGAAAGAAUAUUUUAUAUUUUCUAAAUGCUAAGCCUAUAUACCAUGUAAGAAUAUAACACACAUUUGCUAGGCUUAAAAUCAUUAAUUAAAAUGCCAUUUUCAACUGAUUUUAGUAAAGGAAAAUGAAAUACUAACCUACAUGUUGAAGUAUUUGCUUUAGAACAACAAUGCAGUUUAGCCCCAUCAAGGCCAGUAGAGGGAGGAGGGUGUACAGUGACUCCAGGGUGAACAGAUUGUGAGCUUUCAAGAAAACACUGCCAAAGAGGAUCUUGAGGCAAGGGCUGGGUCUUACAACCCUCGAUGAGACCAUCAACAAUCUCCAUUUCCGUUUUCUUGGACAUCAGAAUUCUCUUGCAGGCAUUUUGGCAAGCAUGGUCUUCGGCUCUGUCACAGCAAUAUAAACCUACAUUUUCAGAAUGUAAGUGGCUUAAUUAGCUGUUUUUUUUUUUUUUAUCCUACUUUAAGUUCUGGGAUACUUGUGUAGGACGUGCAGGUUUGUUACAUAGGUAUACAAGUGCCAUGGUGGUCUGCUGCACCCAUCAACCCAUCAUCUACAUGAGGUAUUUCUCCUAAUGCUAUCUCUCCCCUAGCUCCCCACCCUCAACAGGCCUGACUGUGUGAUAUUCUCCUCCCUGUGUUCUCAUUGUUCAACUCCCACUUAUGAGUGAGAACAUGCAGUGUUUGGUUUCUGUUCCUGUGUUUGCUGAGAAUGAUGGCUUCCAGCUUCAUCCAUGUCCCUGCAAAGGACAUGAACUUAUCCUUUUUUAUGGCUGCAUAGUAUUCCAUGGUGUACAUGUGCCACAUUUUCUUUAUCCAGUCUGUCAUUGAUGGGCAUUUGGGUUGGUUCCAAGUCUUUGCUAUUGUGAAUAGUGCUGCAAUAAACAUACGUGUGCAUGUUUUCUUUCUUUCUUUUUUUUUUUUUUGUCAUACUCUGCUUAGCACAGAACAUGGCAGUGUAGUGGAAACCAUUACUACUCUUAGUUAUAUGUCAGUAUUUGCAGAAUACAAGCCCUACUGAACUCACUCCCUAUGACUUUGCAGUGUAGCAAAAAGGUGAGGAGCUAAAGGUAGACAAGGUAUCUAUUACCAGAAUUCACCACUGUCCCCAAUCAUGGGAUCUUUAGCACCAUACUUACAAAAAUGAAAGGUCAUCCUACACCUAAGAAUUCCUCACAGGAGAGGCAUUUUACAUUCCUAGAAAAGGUAUUGUAGAUUGAGCUGGAAUUAUUUCCUGCUAGAAACAAUCACCUAAAAGGGAUUAUGUUCUUGACGUGAAAGAGAUGGCUAAUUUUUAUAGCAACAAACACAAAUACCGUAUUUCAUCACAUUCUAAGACCACAUAAAGCUUUUAGGUAUCUUAAGCUAAUUAAUCUAAGUUGUAACGUAAAUAAUACAGUAGCAAACUUUGACAGAUAUCAAUUUGGUUCUGUCUUUAAUUUUUUGCGAGAAUCAGAAAUAAAAAAACCCUUUCAACAUACUAUAGAACUCAGAAGGGCUUCUUUGAAGUAGUUUUCUUUGCUUUGGAAGAAAUCUAUUUAUGCAUAUCUAUUUGGAGCCUUCUUUUCCAGAUUCCUCUAUAUUGGCAAAGACAGAGAUGGUUGUUCUACCCUUAAAACCUCUUUC